RNAcentral lists this ribosomal RNA (1277 nucleotides) under Kirchnerius guangxii. RNAcentral describes it as "16S ribosomal RNA". The stretch from base 1034 to 1192 matches the Rfam family "Archaeal large subunit ribosomal RNA", at positions 2542 to 2701 of the family's 2987-position model. Lineage: Eukaryota; Metazoa; Arthropoda; Insecta; Coleoptera; Lucanidae. The record is from RNAcentral.
UAAUUUGAAGUUUAGUUUUUUAUUAAAUAAGUUAUUUUUAAAAGAAGUUAUUUGUUUGAGUAUUAAGUUUGAAAAAAUAUUUUUAAUUAUAGUUUAGUAGUACUGUGAGUGAAUAAUUGAAAUAUUUAAAAGAAUAUUUUAUUUGUAGUACCUUUUGUAUCAGGGUUUAUUAAAAAUAAGUUUUUUUUAAUGCUUUCUCGAAUUUAUGAGAGCUAAGGAUAUAUAUAUAUUAAUGUGGAAUAAUUAUUUCAAAUAUUUUCUUUGUAAUUAAACGUUAGUCGAACUUAAAUAUAUCUAGUUUUUUAAGAAAUUAAUUUAAUUAAGUCUAUUUGAUGGAUUGUUUUUAUAGAAAAUUGAUCUUGAAAUUGGGUAAUAUUCAAGGGGAUAAGCUUUUGAAUAAAUUUCUAUAAUAAUUAAUUUAUUGAAAAUUUAAUAGGAAUAGAAGUUUUCAUUUUUUAUAGUGUUUUAUAUCAAGAUUUUUGAAAAGGUAAUUUGUUUUUUUUUAGGUUGUUUAUUAAAAUAUUAAAUUUAAUUAAGGAUUUUGAGAAAUAAUGAUAAUAUAAGUAUAAUACAUUGUUAUAAGAUUGAUGAAGGAAAGAUUUGGUAAAGGAAUUCGGCAAAAAAAUUUUCUGCCUGUUUAUUAAAAACAUGUCUUUUUGGGAAUAAUUUAAGGUCGGGCCUGCCCUAUGAUAAAUUAAAUGGCCGCGGUACUUUGACCGUGCAAAGGUAGCAUAAUCAUUAGUUUUUUAAUUGAAAGCUGGAAUGAACGGUUUGACAAGAAAAUUACUGUCUCUAUUGAAUGGUCUAGAAUUUUAUAUUUUAGUUAGAAAGCUUAAAUAAUUUUAAGGGACGAGAAGACCCUAUAGAAUUUUAUAAAUUUUUUUAGAUUAUGUUUUUAGUUUAUUUUAUUAGGUUUAGGAAAAUUUAUUUUGUUGGGGUGAUGGUAAAAUUUAGAAAACUUUUUUUUCUUUUAUUCACUGAUUUGUGUAUAUUUGAUCUGCUGGUUGUGAUUAUAAGAUUAAAUUACCUUAGGGAUAACAGCGUAAUUAGGUUGGAGAGUUCAUAUCGAUAAACUAGUUUGCGACCUCGAUGUUGGAUUAAAAUUAAUUUUUGGCGUAGAAGCUAAAAAAUUAAGUCUGUUCGACUUUUAAAAUUUUACAUGAUCUGAGUUUAAACCGGCGUGAGCCAGGUUGGUUUCUAUCUUUAGAAAAUUUUAAUGUUUUAGUACGAAAGGACCAUUCAUUAAUUUAAUAAGUUGGGUUUUGAAUAUUAAUAUU